This is a long non-coding RNA of Carcharodon carcharias (great white shark), 309 nucleotides long. RefSeq lists it as uncharacterized. The transcript is spliced from 3 exons. Lineage: Eukaryota; Metazoa; Chordata; Chondrichthyes; Lamniformes; Lamnidae. The record is from RefSeq and is a predicted model, not a curated record.
CUCAAACUAGAGCAUGCGCAUCACCGCCGGUAGCCGUUCGAAAGACUGAGAAAUGGCGGAGUACUGGCAAGUACAGGGAGCCGGGUAUUAGAGGCAGAGGAUUGGCGGACGGGAAACGCAAACCAAACAUUACAUCAAGAUCUGACAGAGUCAUGUGAUUCGUCAGGACCCGAAUAUCAUCAAACUUUUAAUGUGGAAGGGUAUUGGAAGGAGACAAUUUGCAGUCGGGCAACUCAAACCAAACACCACAUCAGGAUCUGACAGAGUCACCCAAUUUAUUGUAACCUAAAUAUCACCGGAUUUUGAACA